CGGGAUAAGCUUGACACCACUUCUUUAUUUUUUUAUAGUUAAAGAGUAAUGGAUGAUUUUUGAAUAAUAUAAAGUGAAAUUCUAGAAUAAAAAAGAGAUUUAAUGUUGUAUAUGGAGUAUGGAAUUUAUUGUGGAUGAAUACAAUGGAAAAUUGUAAGUAUACAAUUGAAAGUAUUGAUGAAGAAUGGUUAUGAAUGGAAGAAUUAUAAUACUGAGAUUUGAGAGGAAAUCUUUGGAGUCUGGAUUUGUGUGAAGAAGAAUAAGUAGAAUGAUAGUUAAAUGUAGAAGAUUCCAAUGAUUGGAUCAUGGAGUGAUUAUAUGCUAUUAUUUAAGAUAGUAUAGUAUUACAUAUUGUAGAAUAGAUAUUA
RNAcentral lists this long non-coding RNA (368 nucleotides) under Physcomitrium patens. Its description in RNAcentral is "long non-coding RNA (PPAT_LNC001765)". Lineage: Eukaryota; Viridiplantae; Streptophyta; Bryopsida; Funariales; Funariaceae. The record is from RNAcentral.